Molecule: ribosomal RNA, 249 nt
Filed under: uncultured bacterium
Lineage: Bacteria
Description: partial 16S ribosomal RNA
Rfam family: Bacterial small subunit ribosomal RNA
Source: RNAcentral
UACGUAGGGUGCGAGCGUUAAUCGGAAUUAUUGGGCGUAAAGCGCACGUAGGCGGUUCGUUAAGUCGGAUGUGAAAGCCCUCGGCUCAACUGAGGAAGUGCACCCGAAACUGGCGAGCUUGAGUACGAAAGAGGAUCGCGGAAUUCCCGGUGUAGAGGUGAAAUUCGUAGAUAUCGGGAGGAACACCGGUGGCGAAGGCGGCGAUCUGGGUCGAUACUGACGCUGAGGUGCGAAAAGCGUGGGGAGCAA